AGUCGAACGGUAACAGGUCUUCGGAUGCUGACGAGUGGCGAACGGGUGAGUAAUACAUCGGAACGUGCCCGAUCGUGGGGGAUAACGAAGCGAAAGCUUUGCUAAUACCGCAUAAGAUCUACGGAUGAAAGCAGGGGACCGCAAGGCCUUGCGCGAACGGAGCGGCCGAUGGCAGAUUAGGUAGUUGGUGGGAUAAAAGCUUACCAAGCCGACGAUCUGUAGCUGGUCUGAGAGGACGACCAGCCACACUGGGACUGAGACACGGCCCAGGCUCCUACGGGAGGCAGCAGUGGGGAAUUUUGGACAAUGGGCGAAAGCCUGAUCCAGCCAUGCCGCGUGCAGGAUGAAGGCCUUCGGGUUGUAAACUGCUUUUGUACGGAACGAAAAGACUCUGGUUAAUACCUGGGGUCCAUGACGGUACCGUAAGAAUAAGCACCGGCUAACUACGUGCCAGCAGCCGCGGUAAUACGUAGGGUGCAAGCGUUAAUCGGAAUUACUGGGCGUAAAGCGUGCGCAGGCGGUUAUAUAAGACAGAUGUGAAAUCCCCGGGCUCAACCUGGGAACUGCAUUUGUGACUGUAUAGCUAGAGUACGGCAGAGGGGGAUGGAAUUCCGCGUGUAGCAGUGAAAUGCGUAGAUAUGCGGAGGAACACCGAUGGCGAAGGCAAUCCCCUGGGCCUGUACUGACGCUCAUGCACGAAAGCGUGGGGAGCAAACAGGAUUAGAUACCCUGGUAGUCCACGCCCUAA
RNAcentral lists this ribosomal RNA (748 nucleotides) under uncultured bacterium. RNAcentral's name for it is "bacterial SSU rRNA". It matches the Rfam family "Bacterial small subunit ribosomal RNA", at positions 60 to 805 of the family's 1533-position model. The record is from RNAcentral.